AUUGAACGCUGGCGGCGUGCCUAACACAUGCAAGUCGAGCGGUAACAGGUGUAGCAAUACAUGCUGACGAGCGGCGGACGGGUGAGUAACGCUUGGGAAUCUGCCUAUUAGUGGGGGACAACCCGGGGAAACUCGGGCUAAUACCGCAUACGCUCUACGGAGGAAAGCCGGGGACCGCAAGGCCUGGCGCUAAUAGAUGAGCCCAAGUCGGAUUAGCUAGUUGGUAGGGUAAUGGCCUACCAAGGCGACGAUCCGUAACUGGUCUGAGAGGACGACCAGUCACACCGGAACUGAGACACGGUCCGGACUCCUACGGGAGGCAGCAGUGGGGAAUAUUGGACAAUGGGCGAAAGCCUGAUCCAGCGACGCCGCGUGGGUGAAGAAGGCCUGCGGGUUGUAAGGCCCUUUCAGUGGGGAAGAAAAGCCUCGACCUAACACGUCGGGGUCUUGACGUAACCCAUAGAAGAAGCACCGGCUAACUCUGUGCCAGCAGCCGC
RNAcentral lists this ribosomal RNA (497 nucleotides) under uncultured bacterium. RNAcentral's name for it is "bacterial SSU rRNA". It matches the Rfam family "Bacterial small subunit ribosomal RNA", at positions 29 to 518 of the family's 1533-position model. The record is from RNAcentral.